AUGAAAACCUCAGCGACUGAAGUACUGAAUUUUGCCACAGAGCAAGUACAGCACAGGAUUUGGCAGUGUAAGCUUCCCCAUGCUGCUUCUCAACUCUGAACUGGAGGAACAACCUCUAAAGAAGAGAGGAGUGGUUCAUUUUCCAUGUCCAUUCAAUCUUUGGCCUCU
This is an unclassified non-coding RNA of Chelonoidis abingdonii (Abingdon island giant tortoise), 168 nucleotides long. Lineage: Eukaryota; Metazoa; Chordata; Testudines; Testudinidae. The record is from Ensembl.